This 253-nucleotide ribosomal RNA is filed under the name uncultured bacterium. Its description in RNAcentral is "partial 16S ribosomal RNA". It matches the Rfam family "Bacterial small subunit ribosomal RNA", at positions 524 to 776 of the family's 1533-position model. The record is from RNAcentral.
UACAUGGGGUGCAAACGUUGCUCGGAAUUAUUGGGCGUAAAGCGCGCGUAGGCGGUUACUCAAGUCGGAUGUGAAAGCCCUCGGCUUAACUGAGGAAGUGCACCCGAAACUGAGUAGCUAGAGUACUAAAGAGGGUCGCGGAAUUCCCGGUGUAGAGGUGAAAUUCGUAGAUAUCGGGAGGAACACCGGUGGCGAAGGCGGCGACCUGGGUAGAUACUGACGCUCAGGCACGAAAGCGUGGGGAGCAAACAGG